RNAcentral lists this ribosomal RNA (497 nucleotides) under uncultured bacterium. RNAcentral's name for it is "partial 16S ribosomal RNA". It matches the Rfam family "Bacterial small subunit ribosomal RNA", at positions 29 to 507 of the family's 1533-position model. The record is from RNAcentral.
AAUGAACGCUGGCGGUGUGCCUAACACAUGCAAGUCGAGCGACCAGACGAUAAGCUUUCUCUCCUGCCGUUAGCGGCUGACGGGUGAGUAACACGUGGAUCGCCUUCUUCUAUUACUUGGUUAACUUCGGAAAACCGCUGCUACUACUAGCUCAUAUAUCGUACCGCUUGGUUCAAUAGUUAUUGACGGUUUUCCUGUUUCUUUUAGAUGGAUCCGCGUCGCAUUAGCUAGUUGGUAAGGUAACGGCUUACCAAGGCAACGAUGCGUAGCUGACCUGAGAGGGUGAUCAGCCACACUGGAACUGAGACACGGUCCAGACUCCUACGGGAGGCAGCAGUAGGGAAUCUUGCGCAAUGGGCGAAAGCUUGACGGAGCAACGCCGCGUGAGUGAUGAAGGUCUUCGGAUCGUAAAGCUCUGUUAUUAGGGAAGAAAAAAUGUGGAAGAAACUAUGCACGUCUUGACGGUACCUAAUCAGAAAGCCACGGCUAACUACGUG